AGAGUUUGAUCAUGGCUCAGGACGAACGCUGGCGGUGCGCCUUAUGCAUGCAAGUUGAGCGAAGCUUUUUGGUAGUUUACUACUAGAAAUGACUGAGCGGCGAACGGGUGAGUAACGCGUGAGCAAUCUACCUUAGUUACUGGGAUAGCCCGAGGAAACUCGGAUUAAUACCGGAUAUUCUUAUUUUUUCACAUGAAGUUUUAAGGAAAGGUCAGCCGAACUAAGAUGAGCUCGCGUUCUAUCAGCUAGUUGGUGGGGUAAAAGCCUACCAAGGCUACGACGGAUAGCUGGUCUGAGAGGACGAUCAGCCACACUGGGACUGAGACACGGCCCAGACUCCUACGGGAGGCUGCAGCAGGGAAUAUUGUGCAAUGAGCGAAAGCUUGACACAGCGACACCGCGUGUGGGAUGACGGUUCUAGGAUUGUAAACCACUUUCAGGAGGGAAGAAAAUGACGGUACCUCCACAAGAAGACCCGGCCAACUAUGUGCCAGCCGCCGCGGUAAUUC
Molecule: ribosomal RNA, 509 nt
Filed under: uncultured bacterium
Lineage: Bacteria
Description: bacterial SSU rRNA
Rfam family: Bacterial small subunit ribosomal RNA
Source: RNAcentral